CCUCUGUUGAUCUACCAGGCAAGCAAACCCCCUUGUUCAUUCCUAUACAAUCCUACUCUCUCGCUCCUGCUCUCAGUUAUUGCAUUAGGACAAUAAUGAUUCAUCUGCUACUUUGUGCUGCGGUAGUUGAACCCAUUCCUCUGCAUGACCUGUCAUUGCCACAGUAAAUAGUUGAAACCCACUAGCAUGUGUAGGAGUUGAUUGAGCCAUGUUGUGUUCCUACCAUGCUAUGCCUUCUAUUGCUUAAAGUGUGUCAGGUCUGAUUCAUUGGGAAUGAAUUGGAGUGCAGUGCUCUAUGUUCUGAUGCUGAGAGUUAAGUGUGUGAACAUGAUUUGGUAAAGGUAGUGGUGAGAGGCCAUGUAGGAGUACAUGGUGGGUUGUCUCACUGGAACCGUCCUUAAGCACUGAGUUCUAUGUAUGUUGUCCAAUGACUCGAUACUACCACACAUUGGGAUCCUUAAUUGACUCUCUCGACUUAUUAACCGACUUGAUCUCUGUCCAGGAGUCACAACUAGUUUCUGGUGUUUGUAGGUAGUGCUAUUUUUCUACCAAGUGGCACCCGGCAGGGUGGGCUUGGGACAGACUAGGCACACGUGGCCUGGUGUACCGAGUGGCACCCGGAUGGUGGGCUCGGGAACCCUGCACAAAUCGUUUGGGGCCGUGAGCGACACCCCGGCCGGAUCUCCUUGCGGAUGGAACCCGAAUAGGCGAUAAACCUGGGCUAGAGUCUUGUGUGGUUAGUUAGGUCGUGGCCGACACCCUCGCCAGGCUUCCGCUUGAAGGUUGCCGAGAUACAUGACGUGUACAUGGCGGUAAUUGGCGAGAGCGUGUGUGAAGUACACCCCUGCAGGGUUAACAUGAUCUAUUCGAAUAGCCGGGUCCGCGGUUAUGGACUUCUUGGGUGCUUACAUGGUACAUAGACAACUUGAAGUGGAUACUAUAAAAUGCUCAAGACAAGUGUGAGUGCUAUGGAUGGCCUUCUUGUAGGGAGACGGGAAUGAAUCCAUAGUAGUGUAUUGUGUGGUGACUAGUGGACUCGUGUGCGCCAUAUCACCUCAAAGAAGUUCUGGUAGUCGUAGAACAGGAUAGCCACAGAGUCAAAGCUAGCUUGCUGCAACUAAACCCCACAUUACCCUCUUGAUACAAAUGCAUGUAUGAUAGGAUCUGAUGUAAGUCUUGCUGAGUACCUUUGUACUCAUGUUGCUUUAUUUAUGUUUUUGCAGCGGAGACUUCGGUCUUACUAGUGUUCUCGUGGACUUUGACAAGUAGCUUGUACCUCAGCUACGAUCUUGGUCGGAUAUUGUAGUUAGUUAGGCCCUUCAGCCUUUUUCAUUUGUAGAUGUCUGUACCCAGACAUGUAAUGCUUCCGCUUGUUGCUUGUAUGCUCUGUAUGAUGGGUCUUGUGACCCCUGUUUGCAAUAAAUGCUAUGAUGGCUCUUUGAGCCUUAUCUAUAUGAGUUGUUGAGUUAUGCUGUG
Molecule: long non-coding RNA, 1476 nt
Filed under: Triticum aestivum (bread wheat)
Lineage: Eukaryota; Viridiplantae; Streptophyta; Magnoliopsida; Poales; Poaceae
Description: long non-coding RNA (TAES_LNC027577)
Source: RNAcentral